UUCAUAAUGGCGGAAUCUGAAAAUUUCCUAAUGUUGAGGUGAACUUACUUGCUCCAGGAGUAGUUAGUGCAGUUGGUUUCACAGAAGCUAGAAGCGGAUUCAAAGAAAUCAGGAACAUUCAGAGACUGGACAUGCAACUUUCACCAUUUUUAAGAAUUUGAUAUUUGGUUAUGGCAAGAUUACUGGCUGAAGAUGACGAAGGUAACAGGGUGAAAGGUGAAAAUAACACAAGAGUAUUCAAGUGAAUUUAGCCAAG
Long non-coding RNA from Pocillopora verrucosa, 256 nucleotides. RefSeq lists it as uncharacterized. NCBI's taxonomy places the organism in Eukaryota, Metazoa, Cnidaria, Anthozoa, Scleractinia, Pocilloporidae. The record is from RefSeq and is a predicted model, not a curated record.